AUGGCGACCGGCGCACGGGUGAGUAACACGUAUCCAACCUGCCGAUAACUCGGGGAUAGCCUUUCGAAAGAAAGAUUAAUACCCGAUGGCAUAAUUAGACCGCAUGGUCUUAUUAUUAAAGAAUUUCGGUUAUCGAUGGGGAUGCGUUCCAUUAGGCAGUUGGUGAGGUAACGGCUCACCAAACCUUCGAUGGAUAGGGGCUCUGAGAGGAAGGUCCCCCACAUUGGAACUGAGACACGGUCCAA
This 245-nucleotide ribosomal RNA is filed under the name uncultured bacterium. Its description in RNAcentral is "partial 16S ribosomal RNA". It matches the Rfam family "Bacterial small subunit ribosomal RNA", at positions 88 to 334 of the family's 1533-position model. The record is from RNAcentral.